Gasterosteus aculeatus aculeatus (three-spined stickleback) is the source of this 250-nucleotide long non-coding RNA. The record is from Ensembl. Lineage: Eukaryota; Metazoa; Chordata; Actinopteri; Perciformes; Gasterosteidae.
AUGAGCAGUUGUUCUCUUUUGCUCAAUUGUCUUCGAGGACCCGAGGACAUUAACAUUUUUUGAUCAAAGGCGUCUGAGCCGUCGCAUCGGGCGCGUGAGCGCCAAUCGGCAGCGGAGGCCUCACUAAUCUGUGGGUACGGAGGCAGAGGGAGCUGACAGGAAGGUUUCCCAGCACCGCGACCCCUCCAGCUCGCUCACCUCCGCAGACGUGGUGGCGAUGCAGCCUUCGUCGGGGCACCAUCACGCCAAC